CCGCAACCUUGCGCCGUCCUCCUUCCAUCGCGUGGCCGGCGGCCAACUUCCUUUUCCCAGCGACGGCCAAUCCUGCGAAUAGAAACACCCACAGGUCAAACCCUAGACGAAUCCCCACCCAGCUUUGCAUCUCUAUUCUCCCCAAUCCCUCCCCUGCUGCUCCUCCUGAAUCCCCUCCCUCCACUCCAAGUCCGGCGAGCCGGCGGCGUCUGUUUUCUCUCACUCGCGCGUGUCUGCUGCCCCUGCCCGUCCUUCUCGUGCUGCCAUAAUCGGACGGCCAAAUCCGCCGGGAUCAGCCUCCUCCUCGGAUGGAGACAUGGAGGCGAGGCGGGAGCCGCUGCCCAUGGUCGCGAGGAUGACCAGCCACUCGCACCACUGCCGCUACAGGUCCCCUCUCCAUCCUCAUCUAUGCAAGGUUCAAGGGCCACCGCUCGCGUUUCUGUGAUGCUACCUCUCCCUGCUCCCUGCUGAGGCAAUGGGAUCUCUAACCCCUUUGUGUUGAGCAUGAUGACUCUGUUGUGUUGCUGCCAUUUAGAAAAGGGAGGACACAGAAGCGAGGGGUCAGAUCAGGCCGCCGCUCGCACCGCCGUGCACCGGGUCAUUGCUGCAAUGAACAACUUGUAGCCGCUGAGAAUACUGCAGCUCGCUGCUCGCACCGCCACAAUGUUCCGUUCUGUCGCUGGGAGGAGCUGCUGGUGGAUACCACUAUACCAUUCAGUAGUGACAUGUUUCUUUUUUCAUUCAGUUAAUUGCAUUGGACUAUUAUCUUAUAGUAAUUUCUGCAGUUUGAUAGCUUAAAUCUAUAUCAUGUAAUUGCGAGGGUAGUGCAUUGGCGUUCACACAAGCGUUCAUUGACUAAUUUUUCAAUGUCACAUCAACAAAAAGAAUGUAGCUGGUUCGGUUUCAGUGAAACAUAUUUACUUUCAUGAAAGAAUCAGAUGUUACUAAUUUUUGACUUUGUAACUUUUACUGCAUAAUGUACAAGGACAACACUUCCUAGAUUUCUACCUUUACGUAGAGGAUAGGAAAAUAUUUCUAACUUGUAGUGAGCCUGAACACUGUAUUCAAUUUUAAUUCGACAGGGUAAGUAGAUCUCUCUUUGACUUUUUAGAAACUAACUUGGAAAGUUCAAAGUUCUGCGUGCUUGGUUAUUUAAAGAAUCUGCAUAUAGAAAGCAGAACACGCAAAGAAACUGCCCAUAUUUUAAUUGGCGAUUUCGAAGGAAAUAUCUGCCGUUUGAUGGCUGAAGCCGUUGCGCUUAGCCAUUACAUCACUGUAAACUGAAUCAUAUCUAGUCCGAUCAUAGCCCAUUAGCUUGCAUAUAUACUAUCUGUAUACCAUACAAUACUUUUUCUUCAUAUAUUAUAUUUAGUGUUAGCUUUGUCAAUUUUUGCAGCCGUUGCCGAGCUUCUUGAUAAUGCAAAUAACAAGGUAACCACUGAGGCUUAAUUAGCAUCAAUAUAUUUGCCUAUAGUCUGGUCGACACCACCACCUCUCGUCGUCGACACCAGCGCCGCCGUCGCGCGAAGCAACACCAUCGGCGGUCAUUCGCAGGUACACGACCUCUCCCUCCUUUGGUUCUUCUCUGUCUCCUAUCCAUGGUCUGCAGAAGGAGCGCGGGGCAGCAGAUGCGAGGGCGUUGAGAGUAGUCGCCGGCGAUGGUGGUGAAGAGGAGCACGCAUGGGGAAGAGGCACACUGACGCUGGCCAACCUCCGCCUCCCACCCCUCAUCGUCGCGCUAGGCGGAACGAUGGCAACUUCAUUGAUGGUCUGCAAGACCGCAGAUGCGCGGAAAGGAGAUGCAAGGAAGGUGUUGAUUUUGCACAGAUUGUCUGUGUCGUCAGGUUUGAGACAGGCAUCAGAUGAACCAUACGUCGCCGGUGCUGAUGGUGGUUUAUGUUUCUUGCCUACCCAUACACUACAGUGCAGCUAUAGGAGGCUUUAAAGAAUUUAAAUGGAGCACAACCCCACUGUCUAUGUCCUGGUGUCAUCGCGGCAUCGCUACUAGCACAACAUGAGCAUGGAACAUUGUAGCCAUUUGAAGGGUUAGGUCAGAGUGAGAAUGUCAAAUGAAAUCUUCACUCCUACCAAAUACUAAUAGGUCAUUCCAUCGUAGGAUGUUGCUGGCCAAGGGCUCCUGCUGGUCAAUUGCAGGUCAGUGUUUUUUAUGGUGAGUACUUGGUCCAGGUUGAGGUAAGAAAUUUGUCUCAUGUCUCUUCCUAUAUGAAUCAAGCAAUUUUCUUGAGUAUUUGCAGCUGCAUACAUCUCAAGUUUUCCCUUUCUCAUGGUAGUGUAGUUUUUAUCGGUAAGACUAGAAGCUAGCAUUGCUCAUCAAUUCGUAGUGGCUUAGGCUGGACAUUUAUUCCACUCAAGUACAUUUCAGGUGAGACCGUGAGGUCAUGCGCUGAUAUUUUUUGGCCAUGCAUGAUGUUCUGGUAUUUCAGCUUAUAUGCUUGUGCAAUGCUUGCAUUUUGAGCACUGGUUUGUUGCUUAAUUCUUGCACAUCUAAUUCUAUGCCUCUUAGUAUUACUGUAAUCUUCCCAUGUAUCUUUUCUACUU
Molecule: long non-coding RNA, 2559 nt
Organism: Lolium rigidum
Lineage: Eukaryota; Viridiplantae; Streptophyta; Magnoliopsida; Poales; Poaceae
Exons: 6
Source: RefSeq, a predicted model, not a curated record